UACGGGGGGUGCGAGCGUUAAUCGGAAUUACUGGGCGUAAAGGGAAUGUAGGUGGUGUCGUAAGUCAGAUGUGAAAGCCCCGGGCUUAACCCGGGAAGUGCAUUUGAUACUGCGAUGCUAGAGUGCGAGAGAGGAAAGCGGAAUUCCAGGUGUAGGGGUGAAAUCCGUAGAUAUCUGGAGGAAUACCGAUGGCGAAGGCAGCUUUCUGGCUCGCAACUGACACUGAGAUUCGAAAGCGUGGGUAGCAAACAGG
Molecule: ribosomal RNA, 253 nt
Filed under: uncultured bacterium
Lineage: Bacteria
Description: partial 16S ribosomal RNA
Rfam family: Bacterial small subunit ribosomal RNA
Source: RNAcentral